GACGAACGCUGGCGGCGUGCUUAACACAUGCAAGUCGAACGGAAAGGCCCUGCUUUUGUGGGGUGCUCGAGUGGCGAACGGGUGAGUAACACGUGAGUAACCUGCCCUUGACUUUGGGAUAACUUCAGGAAACUGGGGCUAAUACCGGAUAGGAGCUCCUGCUGCAUGGUGGGGGUUGGAAAGUUUCGGCGGUUGGGGAUGGACUCGCGGCUUAUCAGCUUGUUGGUGGGGUAGUGGCUUACCAAGGCUUUGACGGGUAGCCGGCCUGAGAGGGUGACCGGCAACAUGGGGAAGGAUAGACGCCCCAACCCCCGCGGGGAGCAAGAAGGGGGAAAUAUGGAAAAAGGGGCGGAAGCCGGAGGCACCACCGCCGCGGGGGGGUGGAGGGCCGUCGGUUUUAAACCCUUUUCCGCCUGUGACGAGGCGGGAGGGCGGGAAGGGGAAAAAGAGCCCCGGCCAACCUCGGCC
This 468-nucleotide ribosomal RNA is filed under the name uncultured bacterium. Its description in RNAcentral is "partial 16S ribosomal RNA". It matches the Rfam family "Bacterial small subunit ribosomal RNA", at positions 28 to 509 of the family's 1533-position model. The record is from RNAcentral.